CUGUCAAGGAUAUUCAAUAAAUUAACUCAUCUACUCAUUUAUUGUCUCAACAGAUACAACAAAAUUAUAUGAUCUAGGUGUGGGACAGCAAGAAGGCAAACUUCAACCUUCAUGUUUACCCUUGGGGUGGUAAGAAUCUCAGUUCUACAUGGUCAAUUCAUUUUGUUAGCUUUGUUACCUGACAUUCAAAUUGCCAUUGGUUCCACCAAGUGCAACAUUGCCCAGAUCCAGGAGCAUAUGAAAGUAGUACAAAAGAUGAAGAAGAAUGAGGACAUUCUGCCCAUAACAUGAGAGAGAAAUCCGGAUCAUAAGAGGGCCUUCCUUCACAAGGCUACCUCUUUGACCCUCAGCAAGCUAAGAAGACAGUGAAGCUCUCAACACCCAUAAUUCUAUGAGCUGCACCAUAAUUAUCCUAUCGAAAAAGUGGACAUAAGAGCAUAUCUGGUUUGAAAAUAUUAAUGUCAUUUUGUGUAUGUUUAAUGCAAGAACACUGUUCAGAUUGAGGAAUAAGUAACGAAGAGGAAAUGGACGCCUAUUUCCCUUAAACAGCCGAGAUGGUUCUUUAACAAGAAAUUACACAGAUGGAGAGAUUUCCUCUAUCUUUUCUAAAUUUCAUAAAUGCUCAAAUAAGUCACAAAAGUAGGUAUUUUUGUCUUUUUCUCUCUGUAAGGGGCUUUCUAAAUAGGGAAACUGAACUUACUAGAAAUGUGUUUAUCAAUACUUGGUUUUCACCAUGCUUAUCUGAUGUAUUAUUGCUCAUGUACACUCUUCCUUGUGCCAUUUUUUGUUCCUUGAAUCUUCUUAUGUAAUGUCAUUGAUCUAACAGUGUAAGAGUAAAAUGAGUAAUAAAGUAAUUCUAGGCUGAGUGCCAGGAUCUGGUAGUGAUUGAGAAUACAUACAUAGUUGGUUUCUGGAAUCUUGGCAGGGCAAAAUGAGCUGGUGUACCAUCACUAAAGAAGUGGA
Molecule: long non-coding RNA, 963 nt
Organism: Talpa occidentalis (Iberian mole)
Lineage: Eukaryota; Metazoa; Chordata; Mammalia; Eulipotyphla; Talpidae
Exons: 3
Source: RefSeq, a predicted model, not a curated record